GAAAAAAAAAAACACCCAAAAUUUUCAAACUGGCAUUAUCAAAAAGGAAAAAAAAAACACCCAAUCUCUUCUUCUUCACACAGUCCCAUCUCCAUCUUCAAACGCACAAUUUCCUCCAUGCCUCUCUCUACAUACACGUUCCCCUGCCUCCAAUCUUUGUCCCUUCUCUACCUUCAAACCCUUAAACUAUAGUCCGCAGGCGCCAGCCACCUACUCCUUUAGUGGCAGAAAGUUUUUGAUUUUGAGACUUUACCAUCUGACCAGAUUCUCUCCGCAAACAUUACCGACACAUCUAAGAAUUUGGAAGCCCAUUUUGAAGAAUGCUAGCACUCUAGCAGAGAAGUUCUCCUUGGAAGUCACACAAGAUCUAUGUUUAUUUGUACUCCCUCAAAUAGCAGCAUAAUUAGGGAGGAGUACAUAAAUUUGAUUUUGGAAGAUGUUGGAAAAGUCAAUAUCAAGAGGGAGAGCAAAAAACUUUAGGU
Long non-coding RNA from Quercus robur (English oak), 482 nucleotides. RefSeq lists it as uncharacterized. NCBI's taxonomy places the organism in Eukaryota, Viridiplantae, Streptophyta, Magnoliopsida, Fagales, Fagaceae. The transcript is spliced from 3 exons. The record is from RefSeq and is a predicted model, not a curated record.